GCGAACGCUGGCGGCAGGCCUAACACAUGCAAGUCGAACGGAUCCUUCGGGAUUAGUGGCGGACGGGUGAGUAACACGUGGGAACGUGCCCUUUGGUUCGGAACAACUCAGGGAGACUUGAGCUAAUACCGGAUGUGCCCUUCGGGGGAAAGAUUUAUCGCCAUUGGAGCGGCCCGCGUCUGAUUAGCUGGUUGGUGAGGUAACGGCCCACCAAGGCGACGAUCAGUAGCUGGUCUGAGAGGAUGAUCAGCCACACUGGGACUGAGACACGGCCCAGACUCCUACGGGAGGCAGCAGUGGGGAAUCUUGCGCAAUGGGCGAAAGCCUGACGCAGCCAUGCCGCGUGAAUGAUGAAGGUCUUAGGAUUGUAAAAUUCUUUCAGCGGGGACGAUAAUGACGGUACCCGCAGAAGAAGCUCCGGCUAACUUCGUG
RNAcentral lists this ribosomal RNA (432 nucleotides) under uncultured bacterium. Its description in RNAcentral is "partial 16S ribosomal RNA". It matches the Rfam family "Bacterial small subunit ribosomal RNA", at positions 29 to 507 of the family's 1533-position model. The record is from RNAcentral.